RNAcentral lists this long non-coding RNA (581 nucleotides) under Mustela putorius furo (domestic ferret). Its description in RNAcentral is "lncRNA (ENSMPUG00000027653.1)". The record is from RNAcentral. Lineage: Eukaryota; Metazoa; Chordata; Mammalia; Carnivora; Mustelidae.
GGGAAGUUGUAUUGUGUGCCGGAAAGAGCAGCACACAUUGCCUCACAGGAAAGUUGAAGUAGAGGAGUUUGUUCUCUAUUCACAGGUCCCAUGAUGCUCAGAAUUGCUGCCCAUGUGCACCUCAGCUGCGAGGUUGUUCAGGGCUGGUGGAUGGGUGUGGAGAGCGAGAUGGGAGCCAGAGGAUGAGAGGAGAACAAGAGAGAUGCCUUCACCCAGAGCCCCUUUGGAAUCAGAAAUGAGUCUUAGGUUCUGGAGCAGAGUAAUAAAGAAAAUACAAAAGAAUCUCUGACUACAUGGAUCUUACAACCUAUUGGAACAACAGGUAAACAAAAGAGUAAACAUUUAGUUUGUCAGAUGUUGAUAAAUACAAUAGUAAAAAAAAUUGUGUUGUGUUGGGCUGUGGGUUAUUUCUGUUUUGUUAUGCAUUAAGGGAAGACCUUCCUGACAAAGUAUAUAAACAGGCUCCUUAAAGGAAGUGAGGGGACAAGUCAUGCAGAUAUUUGGGGGAAAAUCAUUCCAGGCAGAGAAAAAAGUACCUGCGAAGGACCUGAGACAGAAAUGUGCAGGUAUGUUCUAUGUUC